This 277-nucleotide long non-coding RNA is filed under the name Prunus dulcis (almond). RNAcentral describes it as "sRNA ncRNA". Lineage: Eukaryota; Viridiplantae; Streptophyta; Magnoliopsida; Rosales; Rosaceae. The record is from RNAcentral.
UCAUCUGAUCUGACCACAUGGAAAAGCUCUCUUUGUGUUGAUGAAGAAUUCUCCAUCUCAAACAAGAUAGACUGAUGUUAAACCCUGGGGGGCACGUCCUUGUUUGGUUUUCUUGCAAGAAAACUUUAUCGGAUGAUGAUGAAGUUGUUGAAAGUAACUUUCUAUGUAAUGCCAUAUGCAGCCAGUUUGUUGGCCUUUGUCUAUGAAUCCUUCAAAGACAGCCAUUGAUUCUGUACUUAAACCUGUUAAAGCUCGUAUUGUUGAAGUUCAAUUUCCU